RNAcentral lists this unclassified non-coding RNA (646 nucleotides) under uncultured Bordetella sp. RNAcentral's name for it is "partial 16S-23S ribosomal RNA intergenic spacer". It matches the Rfam family "Bacterial small subunit ribosomal RNA", at positions 11 to 663 of the family's 1533-position model. The record is from RNAcentral. Lineage: Bacteria; Pseudomonadati; Pseudomonadota; Betaproteobacteria; Burkholderiales; Alcaligenaceae.
AUUCGAUCAUGGCUCAGAUUGAACGCUGGCGGGAUGCUUUAUGCAAGUCGAACGGCAGCACGGACUUCGGUCUGGUGGCGAUGGCGAACGGGUAGUAAUGUAUCGGAACGAUUGCCUGAAAUGGCGGGGAUAACACGCGGCGUAGCUAAUACCCGCAUACAUGUCGGGGAAAGCGGGGGACCUUCGGGCCUCGCACUGUUAGAGCGGCCGAUAUCGGAUUAGCUGGUUGGUGGGAGGUAACGGCUCGCAAGGCGACGAUCCGUAGCUGGUUUAAGAGGACGACCAGCCACACUGGGACUGAGACACGGCCCAGACUCCUACCGGGAGGCAGCGGUGGGGAAUUUUGGACAAUGGGGAAACCUGAUCAGCCAUCCCGCGUGCGAUGAAGGCCUUCAGGUUGUAAAGCACUUUGGCAGGAAAGAAACGGCACAGUAAUACCCCGUGCAACUGACUGAACCUGCAGAAUAAGCACCGGCUAACUACAUUGCCAGCAUGCUUUUGAUAAUGCGUAGGGUGCAAGCGUUAAUCAGAUUACUGGGCGUAAAGCGUGCGCAGGCGGUUCGGAAGAAAGAUGUGAAAUCCCAGAGCUUAACGCGGAACUGCAUUUUUAACUACCGAGCUAGAAGGUGGUAAUCAGAGGGAGGUG